GACGAACGCUGGCGGCGUGCUUAACACAUGCAAGUCGAACGGAAAGGCCCUGCUUUUGUGGGGUGCUCGAGUGGCGAACGGGUGAGUAACACGUGAGUAACCUGCCCUUGACUUUGGGAUAACUUCAGGAAACUGGGGCUAAUACCGUAUAGGAUCUCCUGCUGCAUGGUGGGGGUUGGAAAGUUUCGGCGGUUGGGGAUGGACUCGCGGCUUAUCAGCUUGUUGGUUGGGUAGUGGCUUACCAAGGCUUUGACGGGUCGCCGGCCUGAGAGGGUGACCGGGCACCUGGGGCCUGAGAGACGGCCCAGACUCCUACGGGAGGCAGCAGUGGGGAAUAUUGCACAAUGGGCGGAAGCCUGAUGCAGCAGCGCCGCGGGCGGGAUGACGGCCUUCGGGUUGUAAACCGCUUUAGCCUGUGACGAAGCGUGAGUGACGGUAAUGGAUAAAGAAGCACCGGCUAACUACGUG
Molecule: ribosomal RNA, 468 nt
Filed under: uncultured bacterium
Lineage: Bacteria
Description: partial 16S ribosomal RNA
Rfam family: Bacterial small subunit ribosomal RNA
Source: RNAcentral